GAGGUCACCGGAGCACCUUCCACCCUCAGCGACCACACCUUCGCCAAUCUGAUUCUCUCUGGGCCAGCUCACCCUGAGCUUUGAUGCGCUGACGCCCUGCCUGAGGACCUGUUCCUCGGCUUGGACGCCUGGAGUCCCUCCAGCUGCAGGGGCAACCAGCUCCAGACCCUGCCCGGGCGGAUCUUCCUGCCCCUGCAGCAUCUGAAGUCCCUCGACCUGGGCCAGAACCACCCUCGCCUGGCUCCCAGAGGGGCUGCUCUACCCCCCUCCAGCCUGCAGUCCCUGAGGCUCAGUGACAACCGGCUGUCCCAGGGCCUCCGUCCGGGCAUCUUCGCCCACCUGGGCAGCCUGCAGGAGCUCUUCCUGGAUGGCAACGCCAUCCGAGAGCUGCCCCCGAGGCUGUUCUCGGGCUCUUCCACCUGGAGAGGCUAUGGCUGCAGCACAACGCCUAUCCACCACCUGCCCGCCACCAUUUUCUCUCUGGACCCAUGCGAACCUAACGGCCCUGAGCCUGCAGGGCAACGCGCUGUAGACACUUCCCGCUGGCCUGUUCUACCUGCACCCCGCACCUGCGCAGCCUGUCCCCUGUCCCACAACCAGCUGGUGAUGUUUGUGGAUGGUGCCUUUGCCAACCUGUCCAGCCUAGAGUUCCUUGCGUGGCCCACACAAUGCCAUUGCACAGCUCCCAGCCGGGCUCUUCCGGGAUCUGCAGGCGCCUGCUGCUCCAGCUGCACCUGGGCAGCAACAACCUGACAGCCCCUGCCCUCUGGGCUCUUCCACAACCUGUCCAGCCUUGAGCUGCUCAACCUCUCCCGAACCAGCUGAGCACGCUGCCUGCUGGCCUCUUCAACACCAACUACAACCUCAACCUCGCCCUCUGCACUGCAACCCAUGGCACUGCGACUGCCACCUGGCCUGGCUUUCAGGGGUGGCUGCGCUCUGGAGCGACCAGUUGCUCCACACCCGGACCUACUGUGCUAGGGCCUGCCCACCUGCGCGAGGCCAGGUGGUGCCCACCUUGAGGGAGGAGCAGCUGGUGUGCUCCGCGGUCCGGGCACCCAGGGCCGGACCACAGACUGGCCGGGGUAGGCUGGGACGCAGUGGUGGCUGGGACAGGGCGGCCCGGAGCCGGUGUACCUACAGCAACACAGAGGGCACAGUGGUGCUGGCCCGUGACGAGGGCCAGUGCCGCUGGCUGAAUGUCCAGCUGUCCCCCCCGGCAGGGUGAGGGCUUCCUGGCGAUGAUGUUCAAUGCCAGCCAGGGGUGGGACCUGAAGUCCAGCUGUGGCUCUGUGAGGGUCACCGUGUCCCCCAGGGCUCAGGCAGUGGGGCCCUAGGGGCACAGAGCCGGAGCCUGGGCAGGUGGGGGCAGAGGAGCUGGAGUCCUUGAAGCUCUGAGGGACGCGGCCGCAUCUCCAGGGUGGGAGGCGGAGUCUGGUCCCCUCCCCUUCUUCCCUCACCGGCCCCCUCUCAGAGUCUGAACACCCUUGAGAGCUGCUCUGAGGCCACAAUACCCCCGCCAUCCAUCCCCUCUCUCCAGGUCCCGGUCCACGGUCCCCCCCACCGGCACCCAGCCCAGCAGGAUGGUCCCCACAAUCCCAAACACCCCGGAGUCUCCAUGCUUCUGACACCCAGUUCAAAAGCCAGGGUCUGUUCAGAUUUCUUUGUUCUAAUUGGAUGCGGAGGAUAAAUGAGGACAAUAGGGGCAGAGGGGCCUCGAGUUGGGUGUGGCCUGGAUUCCUGUGGGGAAUCCCCGUCCACCAUCCACCUCCUCCGCUGCAUCCAGGAGAAACCAAGGCAAGCUGGUACCGUGGGAGGGCUGUAGCCCAGUCCGGGCCUCUGGGACCCGAAAGCCCCAAGGAUUCGGUAGUGGCUGCGCCCAGGUGGGCACUGGAGAUGGCGGCUCCCUGAGGAGGGAGAAGAGCCCCGGAGACACGGAAGCAGCAGCAGGGGUGGCCUGCUGUGGUCCUUGGCUUGCCCGAUGUCCCUGGACACCCGCACCCCGUCUCCAUGUGGGGCUCUGACGCCAGCGUCUGAGCCAAGCUCUGUCCCCACUCCUCCGCGGGCCCUGGCUGAGCACUUUCCUGGCCGCCCUCCCCUCAUCCGGAAGGCUGGCCAGCUUCCAUGGCGCCUUCUUCAGCCCUACUUGGUGCCCUGGACCACACCAAGGCGCAGGCUUCCUGGGUGGAGGGGAGAGACGGCCCGAGGUACAGCGGCCGGCUGCAGCUCAGAGUGUGGGGAGACACAGAGAGAAGACACAAAGCAGGGGUCUCAGGGAGCCUGGCCUCCUGUGACAGGAGUCCUAGGGAACCAGCAGUGUGUCCCUGCCAGAGGCCAGGGCUGGGCUCAGCCGGGAGGGCACAGGCAACCUGGGCAGGAGGGCUGGAGAUCUACACAGGCAGGGCAGGGCCAGGGCUGGGGCCUGGGCGCCAACUCUGGGGUUCAGGAAGGGCGCUCAGCCGUGGUGUGCAAGGCGGGCAUCCCCUCUGGGCGCAGUUGUUCUGCAGGGUCUGUCGGGGCAAAAGACAGGCAGGACCUCUUCAGCCAAGAGGGUGGGACACUAAGGAGAAAGCCUAGCCACACACACAGGUGGGUGCAGAGCCCUGACCAGGAACCACAGAAUUGCAGCAGAAACACAGAUUGGUGCAAGCACUGUAGAAAUUGGGGUGGAGAUUCCUCAAAGAACCAACAUGAGAAAUUCCAUUCCACCCAGCUAUUCCCCUUCUAGGUGUCUUCCGGAAAGAGUUAAAGGCAUCCUAUUACAGUGAUCCAUGCACACCCAUUUUUAUAGCAGCACAAUUCAUAACAGCUAAAUCUUGCAAAUAGCCCGUAUAUCCAUUAGCAGAUGAGUGGCUAAAGAAAACGCUCAUAUUUACACCCCAAUGGAGUACUACUCUUCCACAAAGAAGGAUAAACAGGGUGGGGAUUUAGCUGAGUGGCACCGAAGCCUGCCUUGCAAGCUCAAGGUCCUGAGUUCAAUCCCCAGUACCAAAAGAAGGAUAAACUUGUGUCAUUUGUAGGAAAAUGGCUGCAUCUUGAGACCCUAGGUUAAGUGAAAUGAAUCAGACACACAAGUUUAAAUAUGGUUUAUUUUAUAUAAGAAACCCAAAGUAUAAAUAAGUGAAUGAACAAAAUAAAAAGCAGGCAAUAGGAGACAGAGAUAGAUCUUUCAGCAAAGGGAAGGGGAUCGAGAGAUGAAGGGAGGGGAAGGGGAUGAGAAGGAACUUCGAUGUGUUACACGCCUGCACCAACUCUUCACAAGGCAUGUGGUCACUGCACUGCAAAAAUAAAGCUGAGAAAUGAAAGUAGCGGAGGCAUCACCUGCAUCUGUUGGUCCCAGGGAAACUCGGAGGCUGGGGACGCCGAGUGGGGCCUGGCCAGGGCUCCAGUGUCGCCCUCUGAGAACAGUCCCACAGCUCCGAGCCCAGGAGGCUGGCGAGGGAG
This 3444-nucleotide long non-coding RNA is filed under the name Heterocephalus glaber (naked mole-rat). Its description in RNAcentral is "lncRNA (ENSHGLG00100036514.1)". Lineage: Eukaryota; Metazoa; Chordata; Mammalia; Rodentia; Bathyergidae. The record is from RNAcentral.